This 857-nucleotide ribosomal RNA is filed under the name uncultured bacterium. RNAcentral describes it as "bacterial SSU rRNA". It matches the Rfam family "Bacterial small subunit ribosomal RNA", at positions 9 to 873 of the family's 1533-position model. The record is from RNAcentral.
AGAGUUUGAUCAUGGCUCAGGACGAACGCUGGCGGCGUGCUUAACACAUGCAAGUCGAACGAUGACGGAGGAGCUUGCUCCUCCUGAUUAGUGGCGAACGGGUGAGUAAUACGUGAGCAAUGUGCCCUUGACUCUGGGAUAAGCGCUGGAAACGGCGUCUAAUACCGGAUACGACGAUCGGAGGCAUCUCCUGGUCGUGGAAAGAAUUUCGGUCAAGGAUCAGCUCACGGCCUAUCAGUUAGUUGGUGAAGUAAUGGCUCACCAAGACGACGACGGGUAGCCGGCCUGAGAGGGUGACCGGCCACACUGGGACUGAGACACGGCCCAGACUCCUACGGGAGGCAGCAGUGGGGAAUAUUGCACAAUGGGCGCAAGCCUGAUGCAGCAACGCCGCGUGAGGGACGAAGGCCUUCGGGUUGUAAACCUCUUUUAGCAGGGAAGAAGCGAAAGUGACGGUACCUGCAGAAAAAGCACCGGCUAACUACGUGCCAGCAGCCGCGGUAAUACGUAGGGUGCAAGCGUUGUCCGGAAUUAUUGGGCGUAAAGAGCUCGUAGGCGGUUUGUCACGUCUGCUGUGAAAACCCGAGGCUCAACCUCGGGCUUGCAGUGGGUACGGGCAGACUAGAGUGCGGUAGGGGAGAUUGGAAUUCCUGGUGUAGCGGUGGAAUGCGCAGAUAUCAGGAGGAACACCGAUGGCGAAAGCAAAUCUCUGGGCCGUAACUGACGCUGAGGAGCGAAAGCAUGGGGAGCAAACAGGCUUAGAUACCCUGGUAGUCCAUGCCGUAAACGUUGGGAACUAGAUGUGGGGACCAUUCCACGGUCUCCGUGUCGUAGCUAACGCAUUAAGUUCCCCGCCU